AUGGGAUGGGAGGGAACCUGCGAAGCUCAGAACCGCGGCAGUGGGCCGGAGACUCAGCGGGCCAGGUGCUGUCACAGUUCUUCUGGUCUGAGUGUGUGACUCUCCUGAGAGUCGGAGGAGAUGGCUGCAGGAGCAGUGGCUGGACCCAUCCCUGUGCUGUGCUUGGGCGUUGACAAAUCUGCUGCUACUUUAGUCGGUAGCAGUGGUUUGGCAGUGAUUUGCCUUAAUUGCCAUAUGCGGGGCAGUGGUGCAUGUGGUCAGCAUCCCCCAACUCACAUCCAUGAAGAUUUCUGGUGCCAUGGCAACAUCCCCUACUGCUUUGAACGUGAAGACCUUCAGCCAUUUUCGAUUCACCCCAAAUCUGAAGAUCUUUAGCCAUGUCUGGUCCAACUCCCUUGUGUUUGCAAGUCCAAACAACAGGUCUCAGCAGGGAGCCCCAAAGAGUGGUAGACCUGGUAGACCUGGGCUGGCUGCAGCAUACCUCAAGAUAGAUGGGUCAGUUCUGGGAGUAAGGCAGGAUUCUAAGUACAGUGAAAUUUAGUGGUUUGUUUCCACUGAACCU
Molecule: long non-coding RNA, 562 nt
Organism: Homo sapiens (human)
Lineage: Eukaryota; Metazoa; Chordata; Mammalia; Primates; Hominidae
Source: Ensembl